Pseudophryne corroboree (corroboree frog) is the source of this 1136-nucleotide long non-coding RNA. RefSeq lists it as uncharacterized. The record is from RefSeq and is a predicted model, not a curated record. Lineage: Eukaryota; Metazoa; Chordata; Amphibia; Anura; Myobatrachidae. The transcript is spliced from 6 exons.
GUUACUCUAAACUUUGUCACUCUAAUCUCUGUCACUAUAGUGUCUACACUCAGCCAUGAUGUCUCCACCUCACCUCCACAUUUUCCUCAGGCCAACUGCCGCUCACAAACUGCUGCUCCUCUUGCACCAACUGUCCCCUGGCUUCCAGGUGAGCCAUCACAGGGCCCCUCUUUGCUUGUGCAUGCGCAGAAUGGAACAAUGCUGUGCGGCAGCCAUAAUACCUCAACAAUUGUGUGUAUACAGUCUGAACUACUUCACACAUCUAACCAACUUUUUCAUCAGAGCAGCCAAUGUCUCUCCAGCUGAAUGAUUCAGACGUCACAGCAGUGAUGUGUGGUGGGGUGAGGGAGAGCCUUCCCUGUCAUACUAAAGUACAGUAUAAGCCGGAGUUUUUACUUUAUAAAUGCUACCAUCAUUGCUGGUAUAACACUACAGCUGGAUGUUGUAUCACCAGACUAAUCUGUACCAGCCACAAUACAGACCAGAAAGACACUUACCUGGCCACAGGACCUUCAGCAAGUUAGAUAAAGUACCCACUAUCCAGGCUGGAAUCUCCAGAGUGCCAUCAAGGGAGUGUCAAACUACCAAGCUUGCCAAAAUGCAAGGAAGUACACCGGGGAAGGACAUUUGCAUAAAGUCGUAGAAGUGCGACCGGCAAAAGAUGCAGGAAAGGACAAGCACUCCAUCAUCGUCUGGGACCGAUCAGCAACUGACUCCUGUGUGAUCAGCAAUGUGUUAUCUAGUUUUUGGGGGAGGAGAUUCUCUCAUUCAUGAUGGGUCACUAGUCUAUUCGUGUGCUGAACAGGUUCAGCCUUGGGGACGUCCAAAGGGGCUGGCGCACUCCAUCAUCGUCUGGGACCGAUCAGCAAUUGACUCCUGUGUGAUCAGCAAUGUGUUAUCUAGUUUUUGGGGGAGGGGACUACAGGUUCAGCCUUGGGGACGUCCAAAGGGGCUGGCCUGAGUUUCCUGUCCAUUGUCCUAAUAAGAGUGAUUUUUAGCUUUCAUACAUUUAAUCAUAACUAUUUGUUGCAAUGUCCUACAACUUAAUAACAAGUAUCAAAUGAAUCUACACAUUAAUCUGCUUGCUUUAAUACCAAAUAUGACAGGUGUAUCUGGUUUCGUUCAAAUAAUGCACA